CUGACAGUUUGGCUUCCCUGUUCCAGGUGGCAAAGCCUGUGGGGUAUUCACCUACCUGCUGCAUGAAGGCAGCAUGGAGGGACUGUGGUGGAUUAUCUGCAAAGAUGGCCCAAAUUCUCUCAUCCCUGCAGGUACAUACAAGAUGCCAGAAUCAGUCAAAACUAAGCUCACUGUCCUUGCUAAUAUUCUGCCCCAGAGGAGAACUGAAGCUCAGCUAUUCACCCUACAGAAAGCCUGAAUUUUGUAAAUGUUCUGCUUAGAAUGAGGAAGAAAGAUGAAGAAUGAGGAGGAAGAAGGGAGGAACAAGAGAGAGAGCCAGGUUUCCAGAAGUUCCCUAGUCAUUGGGCAUUUCUGAGACUCUUGAUGCAUAUGCCAAGUAGUUAUGGAGAAAGACAUAGCCGCUUACCUCUGCAGGCAUCAUUGUGUGAAAGGAAGACCGAGGCUGUCUCACCACCCUUGAAGAGAAGCCUUUUGCUAAGGUGAUAGCUGCAUGUCCAAGCCUAUUGCGUGGCAUGGAUUUUGCCUUCUACAGCCCACUAAAGGUGAGCAGUAAAUGUGUUUGCUAUUUCCCCAAAAGGAAAUUGAGGUGUACGGAAUGCUUAUUUGGUUGACUCAGUAUCAUCCUAAAUGUAUGAACUAAUGUUUAGGAGUUUGCAGUUCACCCGCAAACCUCAGCGAUCCAAGCUCCCCUGGAUGACCAUCACUCACCUAGAAAAGAACAAUAACAGGACCUGUUUUGCUAAUCCAGGACUGUUCUCCAGCACUAACUCUAAAUAAUCCCUUCUGUUAGA
RNAcentral lists this long non-coding RNA (791 nucleotides) under Pongo abelii (Sumatran orangutan). RNAcentral describes it as "lincRNA". Lineage: Eukaryota; Metazoa; Chordata; Mammalia; Primates; Hominidae. The record is from RNAcentral.